GACGAACGCUGGCGGCGUGCUUAACACAUGCAAGUCGAACGGAAAGGCCCUGCUUUUGUGGGGUGCUCGAGUGGCGAACGGGUGAGUAACACGUGAGUAACCUGCCCUUGACUUUGGGAUAACUUCAGGAAACUGGGGCUAAUACCGGAUAGGAGCUCCUGCUGCAUGGUGGGGGUUGGAAAGUUUCGGCGGUUGGGGAUGGACUCGCGGCUUAUCAGCUUGUUGGUGUGGUAGUGGCUUACCAAGGCUUUGACGGGUAGCCGGCCUGAGAGGGUGACCGGCCACAUUGGGACUGAGAUACGGCCCAGACUCCUACGGGAGGCAGCAGUGGGGAAUAUUGCACAAUGGGCGGAAGCCUGAUGCAGCAGCGCCGCGUGCGGGAUGACGGCCUUCGGGUUGUAAACCGCUUUCGCCUGUGACGAAGCGUGAGUGACGGUAAUGGGUAAAAAAGCACCGGCUAACUACGUG
RNAcentral lists this ribosomal RNA (468 nucleotides) under uncultured bacterium. RNAcentral's name for it is "partial 16S ribosomal RNA". It matches the Rfam family "Bacterial small subunit ribosomal RNA", at positions 28 to 507 of the family's 1533-position model. The record is from RNAcentral.